RNAcentral lists this ribosomal RNA (1870 nucleotides) under Staphylococcus aureus. Its description in RNAcentral is "bacterial LSU rRNA". It matches the Rfam family "Bacterial large subunit ribosomal RNA", at positions 1076 to 2830 of the family's 2925-position model. The record is from RNAcentral. Lineage: Bacteria; Bacillati; Bacillota; Bacilli; Caryophanales; Staphylococcaceae.
CAGUGCCCAAAUCGUUACGCCUUUCGUGCGGGUCGGAACUUACCCGACAAGGAAUUUCGCUACCUUAGGACCGUUAUAGUUACGGCCGCCGUUUACUGGGGCUUCGAUUCGUAGCUUCGCAGAAGCUAACCACUCCUCUUAACCUUCCAGCACCGGGCAGCCAUCAUUUAAAGAGUGCGUAAUAGCUCACUAGUCGAGUGACACUGCGCCGAAAAUGUACCGGGGCUAAACAUAUUACCGAAGCUGUGGAUUGUCCUUUGGACAAUGGUAGGAGAGCGUUCUAAGGGCGUUGAAGCAUGAUCGUAAGGACAUGUGGAGCGCUUAGAAGUGAGAAUGCCGGUGUGAGUAGCGAAAGACGGGUGAGAAUCCCGUCCACCGAUUGACUAAGGUUUCCAGAGGAAGGCUCGUCCGCUCUGGGUUAGUCGGGUCCUAAGCUGAGGCCGACAGGCGUAGGCGAUGGAUAACAGGUUGAUAUUCCUGUACCACCUAUAAUCGUUUUAAUCGAUGGGGGGACGCAGUAGGAUAGGCGAAGCGUGCGAUUGGAUUGCACGUCUAAGCAGUAAGGCUGAGUAUUAGGCAAAUCCGGUACUCGUUAAGGCUGAGCUGUGAUGGGGAGAAGACAUUGUGUCUUCGAGUCGUUGAUUUCACACUGCCGAGAAAAGCCUCUAGAUAGAAAAUAGGUGCCCGUACCGCAAACCGACACAGGUAGUCAAGAUGAGAAUUCUAAGGUGAGCGAGCGAACUCUCGUUAAGGAACUCGGCAAAAUGACCCCGUAACUUCGGGAGAAGGGGUGCUCUUUAGGGUUAACGCCCAGAAGAGCCGCAGUGAAUAGGCCCAAGCGACUGUUUAUCAAAAACACAGGUCUCUGCUAAACCGUAAGGUGAUGUAUAGGGGCUGACGCCUGCCCGGUGCUGGAAGGUUAAGAGGAGUGGUUAGCUUCUGCGAAGCUACGAAUCGAAGCCCCAGUAAACGGCGGCCGUAACUAUAACGGUCCUAAGGUAGCGAAAUUCCUUGUCGGGUAAGUUCCGACCCGCACGAAAGGCGUAACGAUUUGGGCACUGUCUCAACGAGAGACUCGGUGAAAUCAUAGUACCUGUGAAGAUGCAGGUUACCCGCGACAGGACGGAAAGACCCCGUGGAGCUUUACUGUAGCCUGAUAUUGAAAUUCGGCACAGCUUGUACAGGAUAGGUAGGAGCCUUUGAAACGUGAGCGCUAGCUUACGUGGAGGCGCUGGUGGGAUACUACCCUAGCUGUGUUGGCUUUCUAACCCGCACCACUUAUCGUGGUGGGAGACAGUGUCAGGCGGGCAGUUUGACUGGGGCGGUCGCCUCCUAAAAGGUAACGGAGGCGCUCAAAGGUUCCCUCAGAAUGGUUGGAAAUCAUUCAUAGAGUGUAAAGGCAUAAGGGAGCUUGACUGCGAGACCUACAAGUCGAGCAGGGUCGAAAGACGGACUUAGUGAUCCGGUGGUUCCGCAUGGAAGGGCCAUCGCUCAACGGAUAAAAGCUACCCCGGGGAUAACAGGCUUAUCUCCCCCAAGAGUUCACAUCGACGGGGAGGUUUGGCACCUCGAUGUCGGCUCAUCGCAUCCUGGGGCUGUAGUCGGUCCCAAGGGUUGGGCUGUUCGCCCAUUAAAGCGGUACGCGAGCUGGGUUCAGAACGUCGUGAGACAGUUCGGUCCCUAUCCGUCGUGGGCGUAGGAAAUUUGAGAGGAGCUGUCCUUAGUACGAGAGGACCGGGAUGGACAUACCUCUGGUGUACCAGUUGUCGUGCCAACGGCAUAGCUGGGUAGCUAUGUGUGGACGGGAUAAGUGCUGAAAGCAUCUAAGCAUGAAGCCCCCCUCAAGAUGAGAUUUCCCAACUUCGGUUAU